GCUGAGUGCACAGUCCAAGAAUUAAUCCAU
Molecule: non-coding RNA, 30 nt
Filed under: Homo sapiens (human)
Lineage: Eukaryota; Metazoa; Chordata; Mammalia; Primates; Hominidae
Source: RNAcentral